GCAGGAGCGGUUGCAGUUAAUUCACGCCUCCAGCCUUACGGCGCUGACUGAUAUUACCCCGCGCACGCAGCUUAGAAGCAGCCAUCAUUUAAAGAAAGCGUAAUAGCUCACUGGUCGAGUCGUCCUGCGCGGAAGAUGUAACGGGGCUAAACCAUGCACCGAAGCUGCGGCAGCGACGCUUAUGAGUUGUUGGGUAGGGGAGCGUUCUGUAAGCCUGCGAAGUUGUGCUGUGAGGCAUGCUGGAGGUAUCAGAAGUGCGAAUGCUGACAUAAGUAACGAUAAA
RNAcentral lists this ribosomal RNA (283 nucleotides) under Escherichia coli. RNAcentral describes it as "partial 23S ribosomal RNA". It matches the Rfam family "Bacterial large subunit ribosomal RNA", at positions 1034 to 1316 of the family's 2925-position model. The record is from RNAcentral. Lineage: Bacteria; Pseudomonadati; Pseudomonadota; Gammaproteobacteria; Enterobacterales; Enterobacteriaceae.